AGACGUUAUUGAACUAUAGAAGAGAUGAACUUCUACAUUCAACAGAGUUCAAUAUACGAAGCAUCAACAUCACCUUCAUUCAACAUGCUGUCACCACUGAUGUUUCUAGUUAUUCUAAACGGAUUCAGCUGUGAAGAACUCACACCAGUGGAGACAGAAGAAAACAGUGUAGAAGACACAACUGUUACUAUGUCCUACAAUUACUAUCAAGCUGCUACUUAUUCCGACUACUUCUUCUGGUAUCGACAACAUCCAGGAAAACCACCUGAGUUUCUCAUCGUUCACUCUGGAACACAACAUGAAACCAGUUCUAGACUGUCUGCUAAAGUGAGUGAUGAUAAAACCAGAAUGGAUCUGAAGAUCUCGUCUGCUACAGUGUCAGACUCUGCUGUGUACUACUGUGCUGUGAAGCCCACAGUGACAGGAAACACCAAGACUCUGUACAAGAACCUCUGGAGCAAAGAUAACUCUGUACACCAUCCACCAGAGGGAGUCUCCAUCUGAAUAACUUGAGCAGGAUGUGACGAUACCGUGUGGAUUAUUCAUAGUGGUGA
Molecule: non-coding RNA, 554 nt
Organism: Gasterosteus aculeatus aculeatus (three-spined stickleback)
Lineage: Eukaryota; Metazoa; Chordata; Actinopteri; Perciformes; Gasterosteidae
Source: RefSeq, a predicted model, not a curated record